RNAcentral lists this long non-coding RNA (8312 nucleotides) under Lactuca sativa (garden lettuce). Its description in RNAcentral is "long non-coding RNA (LSAT_LNC001783)". Lineage: Eukaryota; Viridiplantae; Streptophyta; Magnoliopsida; Asterales; Asteraceae. The record is from RNAcentral.
UGUAAGUACUUACAAACAUAUAAAAGAUAUUGUUUUUUUUUUAAUGUAUAUUUUCUCCAAAUUAUGAAAACUCAUUUUGCUUUGCACAUUUUGAACUACAGGUGAAACUUCAUGGAUCGUUUGAUUUUAUUUUUGUGGAUGCUGAUAAAGACAACUAUCUUAACUACCACAAAAGGUUAAUUGACCUUAUCAAAAUUGGAGGUGUCAUUGGCUACGACAACACCCUUUGGAACGGGUCUUUAGUGGCCCCACCAGAUGCACCACUCAGGAAGUAUGUUAGGUAUUACAGAGAUUUCGUGUUGGAGCUUAACAAGGCAUUGGCCGUUGAUCCGAGGGUGGAGAUUUGCCAACUUCCGGUCGGUGAUGGAAUCACUUUGUGCCGUCGUAUAAGUUAAUCACAAAUCACGGAUAAACUUUCGUACACAUACAACUGUUCUUUCUUUCUUUUUUGAGAUUCGUACGUGUAUCCAAGUCUUGUAAGAGAACGAGGGGUUUAAUCUUGUGCUUUUCUGAGACAGCUUAUAGCAAUAAUUUUUGUCAAAAUUGACUCUUUUGGAGAGAGCAAUUGUGUUUCGCAAAAACGAAAAAGAGCAAUGAGUUUUUUGUUUGUGACACAUACAUAGACAACCAUACACAACACAAAGUCACAGAGGUUAUGUAAACAAAGUGACAAUAUUAUGUAAUAACAUUGUAUUUUGAAAGCCCUUAUAACUAUAGCUGGACAUUAUUUAAAAAGGAUUACAAACAAUCAUAAAUAAACNUGUGUAUGUGUAUGUGUGUGUGUGUAUAUAUAUAUAUAUAUAUAUAUAUAGAGAGAGAGAGAGAGAGAGAGAGCUAGGUUCAAAUGUUUCUAGCAACUAUUGUGUGCCUAAAUACACCAAUGAGAAUUGAAGAAAUAAUAAAUAAUUAAAUAAAUCAUUAAAGGGUAUCUUGGACAUUUUGUGUUUUUAAUUAAGGAAAUCAUUUAAUUGAAAUCCAGCAAUUAAGGAAAUAAAAUAAAUAUAUUUGACCUAGGAUCUCUCUCUUUAUUCGUCAUCUCCUUCUUAUAAACCUAGCCCACCAUGCUCUCACCGCCUUCUCCCAUCGUCGACUAAUGUCCAACCCCAUUGAAAUCGAUUGUGGCUUAUUUGCUCAACCAAUCAGAAUUGUAGGGUUUUUUCCAACCUUUUUUUUUUUUUUUGAUCGGGAAAUAGGGAAAAGGCACACAAUAAGGAAAGCAUGAGGCAGAAUCAUUAGGGGAAAAGGACUUCAAUAUGUGCAUUCUGAUCGAGAAGGAGGACCACGGUUGAGAAUGACCGCAAGAUCGAUCAAUGGUCCAGUGGCUAAAUUCGCGAGGAGAGGCGAGCAACACAAGAGGUCGCCGCCUCUUUUCUUUCAUUGGGAAGAGAAAUUGAUGCCUCUCGGUGUUUGCAGGAUGAAGCGAGGGCAGCAAGGGCUAAUUGACUAGAAGUAUCAAUCAACGAGGAAACCCUUCCCCUUUCUUAUUUGUGCAAAAAAUCAAGAAACUUGGGGUUACUCAAUCUGUUCUUGAAUCACCAGUUACCGAGGAGAUGCUGGUAAGUUUACAUGAACUUUAUUGCUCUUUGAUUAAGUUUUUUGAGUUGGGUUUAUUUAAAUUUUUAAUUUUUUCAGAAAUUUGAGACACCAUUCUUUGAUGGUAGAGAACUUGUAUAUGGAAGUAUUGAUCAUUCAAUCUAUGUUUAUGAUGUUGAAGCAAACAGACUUUCCCUUAGAAUUCAAGCACAUACGGUAAUAGUAUACCCAUUUUAGCAAUAAUUAAUCUUGAUUUUACAAUUAGGUUGUUGGUUGAGAGUGCAUAUCGUUUUUGGCUGAAGUGAAUGUGAUAUAUUUAUUUAGUAAAACCUAAAUACUUGUUCAUGGACGACUUGUUGUGGAUCUUGAUUGAUUUGUUAUAAAUUGGUUGGAUUAUUUAUUAGAGUAACAUAGGUUGUUACAUGAUGUAGUCAAAUGUAAACAAUAUGUGCUUUGCUGAUGAAGCCAAUCAUCAAAUAUAUUCUGGGAGUGAAGACAAUUUGUGUAAGGUAAUAAGAAACAAUUGUUUGUAGUUGGAAAUCCUUCUUUUAUUUUUAUUUUUUUUAAUGGAUGGGGAAAUAGUGAUAUAAGAUGGAUUUUAUGUAUAUACAGGUUUGGGACAGAAGAUGCUUGAGAUCAAAAGGAAAACCUGUUGGAAUCCUGAUGGGGCAGCUGGAAUGAAUUACAUUUUUUGACAGCAAUGGAGUGGUCGGUAUUUCAUUAUAUAUAUAUAUAUAUANAAACACCCCUUAUAGACCAGCUUCGUGAAUGAGGCCUACUAACGGUAAGAGUGACUUUUAGUCAUAUAUAUAUAUAUAUAUAUAUUCUGUUAGAAUUAAAUGGUAAUUGCACUUUAGAUUAUAUGAUUCGAUUAGAAUUUGAGGUUUUUUUUUUGUAAUAGAUGUUUCUCUCGAUAUGCCACUUAUAUGAUAUCAUGACAAUUAUUCUCAUAAUAUGAUUUCAUGAUUCAGGGAAUACUUGAUCAAGUGACUUGAGUAUUACAUUAUGUUAGAAUAAAUUAAAAGGCUUUAAUGUCUAACACAUUCUAUUAGAAUUUAUAGUGUAUUCUUUUAGAAUAUAUUGAAAGUUAUAAUAUUUUAAAGUUGAUCAUGUUUUUUUUUAAUGUAGGUUUUGAAGGGGCUGACAUUGAUGUGAAAAAUGAAGAAAACAAAGAGAACAAGAGUAUUUUAGCAGAAUGUUGUUAUUUUUUAAGAAUUUUAUUCAUUUUUGUUGAUAUUCUUUUGGAAUAUGUAUAAUUAUAUUAAAAUGUAUAAGACUUUUAGGUUGUAAGAAUAUAUAUGAAUUUGUAUUUAAGUUCGAUGUAUAAGAAUAUAUUAGAAUAUUGUUAUUUUUUAACCUCGGAUUCAAUAAUUUUGUUAUUUUUCAACAGUAUUCUAAUAGAAUAAAAUUCUGAAAGAACAUCAUUCUAACAAAAAAAUAUUCUGACAGAAUAAAAUCGAUUAUUUUUACAAAUUACGUUAGGAUUAAAAUUGAAUUAAUUAAAAAAAUUCAUAGUUUUAAAAUUAGGAGAACUAAUUAUCCCUAAAAAUCCGAAAAUUUCCUUUUAUAAUUGUAGUUAAUUGUCCAAAAUACCAUUUUGCUAAAAUUUGUGUGAAUAUAUGGUACAUGCUAUCCCAUUGUAAUAUCAUAGACCCUCAGAUCAUGACAUUUGACUAUAUUCCAUCCGAUGGUCCAGAUCUGUGCAUUCUGGUACACAAUAGUUACUAAAAACAAAAUAACAUAACCCUAUAUAUAUAUAUAUNNNNNNNNUUAUUACAUUCAAAGUAAUUAUUGUGUUAUUGUAUGCAUAAGGUGAGUGCUAAAGCGCUGCAAGAAUCUUUUUUAGAAAGAUUCAGCGACAAAGUUUUGCCCCUGUAGAGCCCGAAUCCUAGCUAAAACCCCAUUGUAAGUAAGUUAUACUUACCCUAUUUUAAAUAUAGCUUAUAUUUAGAAUUAAUAUUGUUAUUAUGAACUUAUAAUAAAUAUUUGAGUUAUUAUUAUUACUUAUAUAAUUGUCGUUAUAACAUCUUUUUAACUAUUCACGGUACGGGGAAUCUGUUAAAAGGGCCGCAUAGGGUUGUUGGAUUUCAGAAGUGCUAUAUGCCAAAAUGGUCAUGCCCUCCGGUGUUUUAUGUCUGGCUCCUGUCUGUACAUAGUGGUUGGAAAAUAUUGUUUAAACGCUUAUAUAAUAAUAAUAAUAAUAAUGCUAAGACUAAUAAUUAGUCACGGUAAAUAUUAGAUUAAAAUUUAGCGAUAAUAAUGUUAUGUUUCGUCGAAGGAAAAUAGAAUCGCUAAAAGCAAAGCGCUGCCUGAGUUUGGAAUCAUCACUUUAACAAGUGAGUGCAUAGUUACUUUCAUCUUACACAUAGAUAUGAAAUAUUUUCUUUAAUUACGUGUUAUCUGUGUAUAUUAUCUGUAUACUUGUUAUCUAUGCUGGAUGAACACUAUUUUUAAAUGAUUUAAACUGUAUACGUAUUUUAUACCUAUAAAUUACACGGGGUAAAGAUGGGUAGAUGAAAGAUCAAUUGGAUGAUGAAAUGAAAGGUGAAAUAGAUCAUGAGAUGAGGGUGGGAGGUGAAAAAUAAGAGAAGCCUUUACCCAAGCGUUAGUCUCGUCAUCUAGCAGAGUAUGGAUGACAAUCACGGACUAUUCUAGACAGUCUGGUGGAACACUAGCAAGCUCGCAACCUGUAGGUGUUGUGAACGAGACGUUCGCCCGGUGUACUCUAAAAACCCAUUGACAUGUAUUGCGAUUGGACUCUCAAAAAUAAUACUGUCAAUAAACGAGAUAAACCUUGGAGACUAUGGACUUAGUGACUGUUAUAUAAACUUUGGAUACUAUGGACUUAGUGUCUAUUAUAUAAACCCUGGCGACGAUGGACUUCGUGUAUAUUCCUUAGGACAAUCCUUAAGAAUAAAUAAUGAGGAGUAGAUGAUUCAUAGAGAAUAUACUUAAGAAUAAAGAAGAUAAUGGGGAUGGGUAAAUGAGUUAAUUGUUUGAUGAUGAAACAUAAUAACUAUAUUAUUGUGGGUUGAAAACCCUAUGUACUCAACAGGUUUUCCAACCUGACCCACUCAGUUUAUUUGUAUCACAAGUGUCGAUAUGAAAUUACAUUACACCGCGAGAUUAAGGAGAUGUAAAUCACUAGUGUAAAUGAAUGUAAAGUCUAUUUAUGCUUAUAUUUCUGUGUUGACAAUGACAUCCCAAAGUUUUAAAAUGAAUAAAAUACAUUUCUUAGGAAAUGUUUUGAUAACAUAUUUAUCAUGUUUUUUUCGAGAACAAAUUUUGCAACACUUUUCUUUAAAAUAUUACUCUGAUUUUAAAAUAAGCAUAAAUAAAAUUUUUAAAAUGGCCGUGAAUUUGGAGAUGUCACAAUUCGGCAUGACCUUUGGACAAAUUGGAUAAAUCCAUAAUACAAAGUAAUUAUAAAAACGCAACACAAACAUAUACUCUAUACAUGUUAAACCAUUACAUUCCAUUAAUAUACAUGUUUUACUAAACCCAGACAUACUCUCCUUAAAAAACAACACAUAACUAUAACGUCUAAGGAGACAUUUUAUCUUCCCAUCAUCACUUUUAUCUAUAAAUGUUUUGUCAGACUUCUGUACUUUCAACUCUUCUAUCCGGUGCUCAGUAACUUGUGCUUGAGAUACAUGUCCUUUAAAUCAGAAUAGUAAGACAAUAAUGUCUGGAUACCUAUAUGGAUUUAGACACAAUAAAUCAAAACAGUUUAAUAAAAAAAAUCUUUAAUUUCAAAAUACUAUAUANNNNNNNNNNNNNNNNNNNNNNNNNNNNNNNNNNNNNNNNNNNNNNNNNNNNNNNNNNNNNNNNNNNNNNNNNNNNNNNNNNNNNNNNNNNNNNNNNNNNNNNNNNNNNNNNNNNNNNNNNNNNNNNNNNNNNNNNNNNNNNNNNNNNNNNNNNNNNNNNNNNNNNNNNNNNNNNNNNNNNNNNNNNNNNNNNNNNNNNNNNNNNNNNNNNNNNNNNNNNNNNNNNNNNNNNNNNNNNNNNNNNNNNNNNNNNNNNNUAUAUAUAUAUAUAUAUAGAGAGAGAGAGAGAGAGAGUCAAAAUCACUUGUGAAUCAGUAGUAUCCCGCGAACCUCUAUAAUCAUGCGAACUCAUUGCCGAAUAAUUUUUUCAAAAAAAAAAAGUGACUUAAUGCUUUUACUAGCUCUUAUUUAAGUGUUUUCGUAAUUAUAUCUUAAUAAAUGUGCACAUAUAAAUCAUGCAUAUAUGUAUAAAAGUAAGUGCAUUUUUUAUGUAUGCAUGAAACAAAAAUGCAUAUAUGCAACCUUCCUAUAUAUAUGCAUCCUUUUUUAAGAUUUAUUUUACCAAAACACUUAAGUAUGAGCGACCUAAUGUAUUAAGUCGCUUUUUGAAAAAGAAUAUUGGACAAAACAAUUCGCAAGAUUAGAAGGGUUUGCGGAAUAAUAUGGGUUGGCAAAAGAUUUUAACCUUGUAUAUAUGUGUGUAGUAAAUCGGGAUUGUCAAACCUUAUAUAGAUCUAAUGAUGUAGUAACAUGCUUUUAGCUUGCUUAAUUUGUUGUAGACUUCUACUUUUAUUUUAUUUUUUUUAUUUUUUUUGCUACUAUCUAUUUAGCUGGGUGUUUAUAAACUUUUUAGAUUUUCUAAAAAGAUUAUAUCUAACACCUAAUUACCAUAAGGAACUCUUCAAGAAUUAGAUUCUUGAUCGGAUUCUAAUUAAGAAUGAACUAUGAUUUUAUUGUAAAAAUCUACGGAAACUAGAAGUUAAUUAUAUCCUUAAGACCUUGACAUAUCUUAUAUAGACGACUAAAUUCCACAAACAAACAAACAAAAAUAGAUAAAAAAAAAAAAAAAAAACCGGACAAACCAAUAAUAAGUUCAAUACUAUUGAGAGAGAAUAAGAAAAUGUUUCAAUAUCAUAUGGUCAAACUUAAUUAAAGAAAUUUAAUGAAAAAUUAAAUGGCAUAAAUGUAAUGAAUACGAAAUUAAAUGAUAAUGUGUUCUUCAAAUAAAAUAAAAUAAAAUAAAAAUAAAAAUAAAAAUAAAAAAACUUUUUUAAUCACUAAAUGAAUAUAGUAAAUUAGGUUUUGUAAUAAUAAUUUUUUUUUUAAAUAUCUUUUGUUGAAUUUUAUAGAUUUCAAUGUAUUAUACGAAUAAUAAUAAUAAUAAUAAUAAUAAUAAUAAUAAUAAUAAUAAUAAUGUAUAAAAGAUAAAAUGAUAAGUUGGUAAUACAUAAAACUCUAUAGAACUGAUACAUUACAAGUGUAUUAGAGUAUCACAAGGGUCAUAGUAUCAUAAUAUCUAAUAUCUAUUCAGAAAAAAUACCAAUGAAUUAACUAGUAUUUUCUUGAAUCAUCAUGGUCAUAUUUAAACUAUGCAGACGUGAUAAUGUUUAAAUAUCAACUAAAAUAUAUGAGACGCAUAUUACUUCUUAUCUAAAAUAUAUGACAUUCAAUUUAAUAUCUACUUUUCACAUAAUUUCCGUAACUUUAGAGUUUAUAGAUUUAGGAAACAUUGGAGUUACUAAUGGGGCAGGAGCUUUAACCUUCUAGCCGCUCGCUAACUGAUUAAAAUCAGAAAUAAUUCCACUAAUCCACUACUCAAUGUAAGUUACGCAAUCUCCAUCUAAUUAACAACCUUUAAGGCUUUAAAAGGAACAAAUGAUGUCAGCAUGAUAUAAUAAUAUCAAAUAAAGGAGCUUACCAACUCCUGAGUAUUGACUCGACCAUGUCCAUGUUGGUUGGCCAAGUCAACAUGUUGAUCACCCACUAAUGAAAGGACCAUGCCACCACCUUCCUUGGUCAUAAUUCACCAACUCCCUUCCCUAUAUAUUUCGAUAAGUUAUCCCCUAUCAUCUCAGGUUCACUUUUACAGCCUAAUAUAAUACCUAUCAUUAUUUCACGCACCAAUAUCCCAUCCGAAUGGCUGCUACCGGAGAAGCUCAGCCCGCAAAGCACCAAGAAGUUGGCCACAAAAGCCUCCUUCAAAGCGAUGCUCUCUACCAAUACAUUCUGGAAACCAGCGUUUAUCCGAGAGAGCCACAACCAAUGAAAGAGCUACGCGAGGUCACUGCUAAACACCCAUGGUAUAAUAAGUGCAUUAACUUACCCAAAGUUUACUAUAUACUGAAUAUUUAGGGGUGCAUUUCAUUUUUCUAAAUCAUUUGCUUGUCAUUUGAACUAUAGGAAUCUUAUGACGACAUCUGCAGAUGAAGGACAAUUUUUGAAUAUGCUUCUCAAACUCAUAAAUGCCAAGAACACGAUGGAGAUUGGUGUUUACACAGGUUAUUCACUUCUUUCUACGGCCCUUGCUCUCCCAGAGGAUGGAAAGAUAUUGGCUUUGGACAUAAACCGUGAAAAUUAUGAAAUUGGGCUUCCGAUCAUUGAGAAAGCCGGUGUUGCCCACAAGAUUGAUUUUAGAGAAGGCCCUGCUCUUCCUCUUCUUGAUGAAAUGGUCAAUGAUGUAAGUACUUACAAACAUAUAAAAGAUAUUGUUUUUUUUUUAAUGUAUAUUUUCUCCAAAUUAUGAAAACUCAUUUUGCUUUGCACAUUUUGAACUACAGGUGAAACUUCAUGGAUCGUUUGAUUUUAUUUUUGUGGAUGCUGAUAAAGACAACUAUCUUAACUACCACAAAAGGUUAAUUGACCUUAUCAAAAUUGGAGGUGUCAUUGGCUACGACAACACCCUUUGGAACGGGUCUUUAGUGGCCCCACCAGAUGCACCACUCAGGAAGUAUGUUAGGUAUUACAGAGAUUUCGUGUUGGAGCUUAACAAGGCAUUGGCCGUUGAUCCGAGGG